CCAUGCGAGUCGAAUGUAGCAAUACAUGGCGAACUGCUCAGUAACACGUGGACAACCUGCCCUUAGGUUGGGUAUAAACCCGGGAAACUGGGUAUAAUACCCGAUAGGUCUCGAUUGCUGGAAUGCAUCGAGAUUUAAAGCUCCGGCGCCUAAGGAUGGGUCUGCGGCCUAUCAGGUAGUAGUGGGUGUAGCGUACCUACUAGCCUACGACGGGUACGGGUUGUGAGAGCAAGAGCCCGGAGAUGGAUUCUGAGACACGAAUCCAGGCCCUACGGGGUGCAGCAGGCGCGAAAACUUUACAAUGCUGGCAACAGCGAUAAGGGAACCUCGAGUGCCAGGUUACAAAUCUGGCUGUCGAGAUGCCUAAAAAGCAUUUCAUAGCAAGGGCCGGGCAAGACCGGUGCCAGCCGCCGCGGUAACACCGGCGGCUCGAGUGGUAACCGUUAUUAUUGGGUCUAAAGGGUCUGUAGCCGGCCGGAUAAGUCUCUUGAGAAAUCUGGCAGCUUAACUGUCAGGCUUUCAGGAGAUACUGUCUGGCUCGAGGCCGGGAGAGGUGAGAGGUACUUCAGGGGUAGGGGUGAAAUCUUGU
RNAcentral lists this ribosomal RNA (589 nucleotides) under uncultured archaeon. Its description in RNAcentral is "bacterial SSU rRNA". It matches the Rfam family "Archaeal small subunit ribosomal RNA", at positions 49 to 643 of the family's 1478-position model. The record is from RNAcentral.